Chelonia mydas (Green sea turtle) is the source of this 73-nucleotide non-coding RNA. NCBI's taxonomy places the organism in Eukaryota, Metazoa, Chordata, Testudines, Cheloniidae. The record is from Rfam.
GACUGAGUGGCCUACCGGAUAAGGCACCUGACUUCGGAUCAGGUGAUUGAGGGUUCGAGUCCCUUCGAGGUUC